Molecule: ribosomal RNA, 484 nt
Filed under: uncultured bacterium
Lineage: Bacteria
Description: bacterial SSU rRNA
Rfam family: Bacterial small subunit ribosomal RNA
Source: RNAcentral
AUUGAACGCUGGCGGCAUGCCUUACACAUGCAAGUCGAACGGCAGCACGGGGGCAACCCUGGUGGCGAGUGGCGAACGGGUGAGUAAUACAUCGGAAUGUACCCAGUAGUGGGGGAUAACUAGUCGAAAGAUUAGCUAAUACCGCAUACGCACUAUGGUGGAAAGCGGGGGAUCGCAAGACCUCGCGCUAUUGGAGCAGCCGAUGUCCGAUUAGGUAGUUGGUGGGGUAAAGGCCUACCAAGCCUGCGAUCGGUAACUGGUCUGAGAGGACGACCAGUCACACUGGGACUGAGGCACGGCCCAGACUCCUACGGGAGGCAGCAGUGGGGAAUUUUGGACAAUGGGGGAAACCCUGAUCCAGCAAUGCCGCGUGUGUGACGAAGGCCUUCGGGUUGUAAAGCACUUUUGGCGGGAACGAAACGGCGCUUUCUAAUACAGAGCGCUAAUGACGGUACCCGCAGAAUAAGCACCGGCUAACUACGUG